AUGGUGGCCAAGAUGCGGCAGCCCCAUGCUCUGUUCCGAUGGGCCUCCUCUGCUCGAUGGUUGACGCUGGUUGAGUUUGGUACGGUUUCCUGUUGUUGCUUGUGUCGAGCCAUGGGUCCGUCUCUCCUUCGCACUGAGCGUAAUUCUCCUGUCGCUGGCGCUUCUUCUUCUCGUCCGUCCUGCUGCUUACCAAAGUGCUUCUGCUUGCUGCCUCAGGUUGUACGAUCUCUUCUGUCACUGUCAUUCGACUCAUUAAGGGUGUGUAUGCUUGUUUCCGUUGUUAUACCUGUUUUGGAGGCUGUGGGUAGCUCGAUGCGCUUUGCCGUCCCUUUCAUAUCUGUGUGUAGUCGGAGGAUGGCUCUGUUCUUGCUGGUGUAG
RNAcentral lists this ribosomal RNA (378 nucleotides) under Triticum aestivum (bread wheat). RNAcentral describes it as "partial small subunit ribosomal RNA". Lineage: Eukaryota; Viridiplantae; Streptophyta; Magnoliopsida; Poales; Poaceae. The record is from RNAcentral.